AAGCGUGCGCAGGCGGUUUUGUAAGACUGUCGUGAAAUCCCCGGGCUCAACCUGGGAAUGGCGAUGGUGACUGCAAGGCUAGAGUUUGGCAGAGGGGGGGUAGAAUUCCACGUGUAGCAGUGAAAUGCGUAGAUAUGUGGAGGAACACCGAUGGCGAAGGCAGCCCCCUGGGUCAAAACUGACGCUCAUGCACGAAAGCGUGGGGAGCAAACAGGAUUAGAUACCCUGGU
RNAcentral lists this ribosomal RNA (230 nucleotides) under uncultured bacterium. Its description in RNAcentral is "partial 16S ribosomal RNA". It matches the Rfam family "Bacterial small subunit ribosomal RNA", at positions 563 to 791 of the family's 1533-position model. The record is from RNAcentral.